GACGAACGCUGGCGGCGUGCUUAACACAUGCAAGUCGAACGGUAAGGCCUUUCGGGGUACACGAGUGGCGAACGGGUGAGUAACACGUGGGUGAUCUGCCCUGCACUUCGGGAUAAGCCCGGGAAACUGAGUCUAAUACCGGAUAGGACUGCGCGGUGCAUGCCGUGUGGUGGAAAGAUUGAUCGGUGCAGGAUGGGCCCGCGGCCUAUCAGCUUGUUGGUGGGGUUAUGGCCUACCAAGGCGACGACGGGUAGCCGGCCUGAGAGGGCGACCGGCCACACUGGGACUGAGACACGGCCCGGACUGCUACGGGAGGCAGCAGUGGGGAAUAUUGCACAAGGGGCGGAAGCCUGAUGCAGCGACGCCGCGUGGGGGAUGGAGGCCUUCGGGUUGUAAACCUCUUUCAGCAGGGACGAAGCGUGAGUGACGGUACCUGGAGAAGAAGCACCGGCCAACUACGUG
Molecule: ribosomal RNA, 462 nt
Filed under: uncultured bacterium
Lineage: Bacteria
Description: partial 16S ribosomal RNA
Rfam family: Bacterial small subunit ribosomal RNA
Source: RNAcentral